Molecule: long non-coding RNA, 4372 nt
Filed under: Marmota monax (woodchuck)
Lineage: Eukaryota; Metazoa; Chordata; Mammalia; Rodentia; Sciuridae
Source: RNAcentral
UUUUUUUUUACUUCAUUGUCUUUUUUUGGUCUCCAUUACCUUGGUUAUCCAUAUCUCCAGGGUACUUCAUGGUCCUCUGGCCACGGCAUGCCUCAAGAAACGGUCAGAAGGAAGGAUAAUUGGAAGUAUCAGAAGAAGCAGGAUUUUAAUUUGUGUAGGAAGAAAAAUACAGGAAAAUUAUUUUUAUGAAGCCAUUGGUGAGAGGAACCAGAGUAAUGCCAGUUUGCUUUUGUUUCCAAGGAUCUCGGUAUUUUGUUCCUUGGUGCCAAGUGCAAAGAAAAAAAAAAUCAAAACAUGUUUUGGAUUCUACUGCUCUGCUUCUGUGUGGGAAAGCAGGUUCCUACCAGAAAUUCGUCUCUCCAAUCAACACCCCUUUUGCUAAUUGAGGGCUUUAUACUCAAUAUUAUUUUUUAAAAAAAAAUGAGUUAUGAAUGACCCUCUGUAAGUAUGAGUAUUCACGUUGGGGAGGAAGGAUCUUUUUAGUGAAAAUGAUCAUCAUUUACUAGUUCCUAAUCUCUAUCUGAUAAGAGGCACCUCAACCUUCCAUGUAGAUACAGUUGAUAGAAAAUUACAGGGCAGCAGAAUAGAACGUGUUGCUUUUAUUUUAGGCAAAAGGUAGCGAUGUUUGAGUGCAAAGAGUAAACAGAUACAAUUCAGCACCUGACCCUUUUUUUUUUAAUAAGGAUCUAUGAAAGCUGAAAAUUUUUCAUUUAAGGACGUCUCAAACAACAUCAGUUCGCCCUCACCCCUACCCCAGGAAAUGUUAGGUACAAAGAGGAUAAAGUAGCAAUUCCUUGAAUGACACAUUUGCAUGGUGCACCAGUAACCAGUGGGGAAAAAGUUAGAAUGAAAGAAACAACCUUAGAAAACAGGCCUUUUAUCUCCAAGAUAAAAUGUCCCUCUUGUGGUCUUUCAUCACUUUCUCCUUGGUAGAAAGUUCCCCCAGUUCCCACAUUAUUUCCAUUAAAAUAGUCAAAGCUACUGCAUUGGGAUGUCAAAUGCAUCCCUUUCUUUGUGCUAAUCAGAAUUUAAAAUUAUACAGUUGCCUCUGAAUUUCUCAUUCACAAAGCCAAACCACUGAUAAGAGAGAGAGCGGUGGGAAGCCAGCUGCUCCCAUCAGCACAGCACACCACGCAUCAGCUCUUUCGCAAGCACUGUGAUUUCUAUGGUCCUCAAAAGCUUUCUUUAUAAUCGAGUCCUUGAAAUUUCUUCAGGCAGGUCUGAAUGGCAAAGGGAAAAUAAUUACUUGUGGGAGAUCCUUUUGAGUAUUGUUAGAGCACAAGUGUAAAAGAAAACACCCCUUUUGGUGCACCCUAUGCUCAAACACAUGACUUGGGCUUUCCCCCACUCUCCUUUUGUAGAUACUGAUGGAGCAGGAAAUUAGUAUCUUCCUUUGGGAGUAAAAAGCAAGAUUGUCAUGAGCCCCCAUGCACUAGAAAGUGUGAUACGUAACACAGUGUUAAAGAUGCCUUCAGAGCAUAGGUCAGCAGUCUCCCUCACACCAACAGUGAUGCUAACUACAGUUCCUUUACUUUAGCACAGCAACUGGUAAUAUUGGUACCUCUUUUGUGGUUUGCAAUUGGAAGAAAACAAAGGAAGAAUUGCUAUAAGUAAGAAGUAGUUUUGAGUCCAAAUCUACUUAUCAUGGUAAGAAGGCAGAGUAGUGUUCCAAACACCUCGUUCAGGAUGUAGACAUCCUGGAUAGAAAGUGAGUUGAUUCUGCCUCAUCAUUGAACAUCCUAUAGCUGAGAUCAGCUAAGUAAAAUAUGAUUCUUCUCUCACUGGGAGAAGGGAGAAGAAAACAUCUGUUUGAUCUAAAAUCUACCCUGCAUACUGAGAAUUUUCUAGCAGGCACCAGUCCAGUGUCUUCGCAGCCUACAUCUACAUUGGGGAUUUUUAGCAAAAUCAGAGAUAACUCAGAUUUCAUAAAGUGAGAAACUCUAAACUGGUCUGUUAGCUUACAUGGGAGGGCUACAGCAACAGGUUGUCCAAGAGCAGGAAGGUGACAUUUGUCAACAAGAGAGAUGUCUCUUUAGUUUCCAUAUCCGUCUAAUUCAUAGGAUGCUUAAGUCUUAAGGGUCAUGGAUUCUUUUAAGAAUAGGAGCACAGCUAUGAAACUUCUCUGCAAAAAGAAUCAUAUCCACAAAAAAAAAAUUGCAUAAAAGGAGGUUUCCUUUGAUCCAAAGCCUACCCUAAGACACGGAAAGAGUUUGAUUAUUUUCUCUUAUAAUUGCUUAAUGAAUAUUCACUGAAUAUGUACUACGUGCUAGGCACUAGGCUAAGUGUUUCACAUGUAUUCACUUAUUUCAUCCUCAAAACAAUCCUUUGAAAUGGGUUUCAUUACAGUUUCAAUGUAUAAAUGCAGGGAUGAAGCCAUGGAAAGGUUAAGAAACUUGUCCAAAGCCACUAGUUAGGAAAUGACAGAGCUGGAAUGUAGAUCUAACUUUUGACCACCAUACUAAAAAGUCACCAACAUGACGAACUAUGUUUCAAGCUGUUAGGAAGUAUCUUCUACUAGAGUUUAGAGUAGAUCUUCUUAAACAAAUGAGACUGCAAAACUCUUAUCUCCCUGCUUUCUGUAGCCUCUCAUGAUGAUAACAAUCAAUACUAAAUUAUAGACCCAUGGGGUGAAGACCUGCCUGGAUAAUAGAAUCUAGAACCAAAAAAAAAUGUGUUUGCUCUGGAUGUAUUGCUUGUUAAGCCAGGCACCUUAUCCUUUCAGAUUGUCAGCCUCAUGAUUAGGACAUUUUAGUAGUAAUCUAUGGGUAUAAACAAAGCAGCACUCCUGCACACAUACCUUUUGUUCUCUCUUAUUUUAGGUGAGGUCUUUGAACCAUUUGAUUGUCCUUCUUCUCCACCUUUGUUUUUGGCAAAAGUAAAGGAAACAAUCAAACAGAAUGGCACUCAGGAGAGUGUCACUGUCCCUGUUCCUACAGUAAAACAAGACUACCGAUACAGGGUUUGGUUAGCAUUGGCCACUCAAUAGGGUUGGAGCUGAGCGGGUCAUGUUGGCUCUGCCAGGGCUUGAGUGCCUCAUCUCCUCAGCAGUCACGAAUGGGCUAUAUUCUUCCUCAUGUGCAGAAUUCUUUUCACCAAAGCUUUCAGGCCACAAUUCCCUAUUCGUCCAAGUUGGAAAUGAGAGCCAUUUGCCAAUUUUAUUUUAUUAUUAAAAAAAAAAAAAACAGCACUCUUUAACCAGAGUAGGUCAUACACUGGCGUCCUAGAUUCAGCAAUGAGGCUGGUGGCCUUCCAACCAGGAAAGGAGAAAAUGCGUGCACCUGAAGUUCAUUAGAACUGAAUAGCUUUGCAGCACUUUUAUCUUCUGAGCGAAGACAUUGGGCUUUGAACUGCUAGAGUUAAAAGACAAAGUCCUUUUGAAGAAUUAACUCAGCCAAGGACCAUUAUAGGUUAUGCACCAGUAUGCCUUUAUCAAGGUCCUACUGUCACCCGGCACCCCAGCACCCCACCCCCCCCCGAGCUGAGAGGGCCACAGCCACAGGGCUGGUGAUCCAUCCUGCUGGUAUGUGCUUUCUAUACUGCACAUAUCUGAUAUACUGGGGAGGCUGCAGAUCCACUCACUAUACCCAAAUACACUCAGCCCCUGAGACAGUGUUUACCUGACUCAACCUCCCCAUAAAAACCUUAAAACAAGAUGAGCUAAAAAGGUUUAAGUCCCUAUUUCAGAGUCAGUCUACCAGGGAUUUCCUUUCUAUUGGUGUAGAUGUUCAAAUGGCAAGCCAGGAAUGGAUGACUGUAAGGGUCUCAUGGAACCCACCUGACCAGGGCUAGAAAUCUGGCUUCCUGAAAGAGGGGAGAUUCUAGCAAAGUGAAGGGAACUGUGUGCACACUUGAAUGUGGGUGACACAAAAUUAAGAUAAUUGUUAUCCAGUGUUUUAUGGAUUGAGGUUGAAGUUUUCCAUAUGUAACCCACUUUUCCUGGUCAAGACUUUUCCUUUUGGAGUCCAUGAAGGAGCAGAGGCACCUCUUAAGGAGGUCAUAUUUGAGAAAGAAAAGGCAGAGGCCCUCCAUCAUGAUAUGGCUAGUCGUACUUCGGGAGAAGCCAGAUUCUGGUGCUUUUAAUAGGAAAAAAAUAAAUAAAAGAGGUCAUAGAAGUCCCAUUGGCUUGGGAAUUCUGAAUGUUUUAAAAAAGGAGACCCAUUCCCAUGAAGCAAUGGAGGCCAGCCUCUGUGUUAUUUUUUGGUUUGGUUUUGUUUUUGCUCUGGGUUUGGUUGUGAUGUAAGAAGAGCUUUUUAGUUUUGUUUUGAAUAACAUCAAUCCUUGCACACUCUAUGCAAAAAUUUUGUAAGCAUUGCAAUAAUGCUAUGAAUUACAAGGAACUAUUUUAACUUUAUUACGCUUUCUGUAUAAAAAU